Molecule: ribosomal RNA, 253 nt
Filed under: uncultured bacterium
Lineage: Bacteria
Description: partial 16S ribosomal RNA
Rfam family: Bacterial small subunit ribosomal RNA
Source: RNAcentral
UACGAAGGGGGCUAGCGUUGUUCGGAAUUACUGGGCGUAAAGCGCGCGCAGGCGGUCUUCCAAGUCAGUGGUGAAAGCCCGGAGCUCAACUCCGGAAUUGCCAUUGAAACUGUUGGACUUGAGGAUGAGAGAGGUGAGUGGAAUUCCCAGUGUAGAGGUGAAAUUCGUAGAUAUUGGGAAGAACACCAGUGGCGAAGGCGGCUCACUGGACCGUUGUUGACGCUGAGGUGCGAAAGCGUGGGGAGCAAACAGG